Candidatus Kaiserbacteria bacterium is the source of this 73-nucleotide non-coding RNA. The record is from Rfam. NCBI's taxonomy places the organism in Bacteria, Candidatus Kaiseribacteriota.
CCGCCCAUAGCUCAGUUGGUAGAGCAGUUGCCUCUUAAGCAAUUGGUCGCAGGUUCGAGCCCUGCUGGGCGGA